GAUGAACGCUGGCGGCGUGCCUAAUACAUGCAAGUCGAGCGAACAGACGAGGAGCUUGCUCCUCUGACGUUAGCGGCGGACGGGUGAGUAACACGUGGAUAACCUACCUAUAAGACUGGGAUAACUUCGGGAAACCGGAGCUAAUACCGGAUAAUAUGUUGAACCGCAUGGUUCAACAGUGAAAGACGGUUUUGCUGUCACUUAUAGAUGGAUCCGCGCCGCAUUAGCUAGUUGGUAAGGUAACGGCUUACCAAGGCAACGAUGCGUAGCCGGCCUGAGAGGGUGGUUGGCCAACAUGGAACUGAGAAAACGUCCAGACUCCUAAGGGGGGGAGGAGGAGGGAAUGUUCCGGCAUGGGGCAAAGGCUGACGGAGCCAAGGCGAGGGAGGUAAGAAAGUCCUUCGGAUGGAAAAACGCUGUAAUAGGGAAAAAACAAAUGGGAAAGUAACAAUGCACGUCUGGACGGUACCUAAUCAGAAGGCCACGGCUAACUAGGU
Molecule: ribosomal RNA, 497 nt
Filed under: uncultured bacterium
Lineage: Bacteria
Description: partial 16S ribosomal RNA
Rfam family: Bacterial small subunit ribosomal RNA
Source: RNAcentral